GAGUUCUGACUUUACCUUCUGGCCUCCGAGGGCACCAGGAACGCACAUGGUACACAAGCAUAACGUGCAAGCACAACAUUCAAAAAACGCAUCUCAGGUUAAGACUCAUCUCAGGGGAAGCCAGAGUUCUACGCUUGGUUCUCUAAAACAACAGCCAAACACAGAGUACCCUCAUCCUGUGACUCACAACCACCCGUAACUCCAGGUCCAAGGGAUCUGACACCUUCUAGCCUCCAACAGCCGGCACAAACACACACACACACACAAAAUAGGGCAGGAAUGGUGACUGACUCCUUUAAUCUCAGCUCUCAGGAGGUAGAGAUGCAGACUGAUUUCUGAGUUUGAGGCCAGCCUGGUCUACAUUGUGAGUUCCAAGCUAACUAGAGCUGCACAAUGAGACCCUAGCUUUAAAAAAACAACAAGAACAAAAAAGGAUGAAUCAGGAGGACACUGUCAGUUCCACUCAAAACCUCAGGAGGCUGUGUUCAGAAUAUGACAGCAAAGUACAGGGCAACAUGGCAACCUGUAAAACAGUUCUUGCAGUGUGAACAUCCCUAACCCAGAAAUCUAGAUUCGAUGAUAUCACAAAAAUGUCUGAUUUGCGAUUUAGGGUGUUCAGAAAUGUUCAGCCGGUAAAGUCUACACAGCCCAAACAAAGUAUGAAAACUCUGAUAGGAAACGUGUGCUCUGAGGCAUUUGAGAAAUAGGAUAUUGGCCAGUGCAGCUAAAAUAGUUUAAACAAUGUGGUUCAAAAAUAGAGAGAAAAGCAACUAGAACUGAUUGCUGAAUCCCCAAGUACGUUGGGGAAUUUGAAAUAAUAUUCUUAUCCCAAAUAUUUUACUUUGUAAUGUUAUGACUCGGGACAUUGUGUCCAGAACACAUGGAAAAGCUAACACUGACAGAAAUAAUACAUUUUUUUCAAAAGUGAUAAAGGUUAAAAUGCAUUUGCAAUGAUUGAUUGGAGCUAAAAACAUCUUGCUAACAAGUAAACAGGGAAACUUUGUUCACAACUUAGGCCUUAUAAGGUGAUAAAAUAACAAUUAAGAAACCUGGGUGGAGAGAAAAUUGCCUCCAAAAGAAAAGAUGUUCAAACCGUAACUUUUUAUAGCCCCAAGUUGAGGGAAAAAAACAAGUACCUACUGUAAGUUUUGUAAUGAAAUCAGUCAUCUGAGAGAAAAAUUAAUAUGGUUUACGAGAAUAACACUAUCAAUCCACAGAAUGCUCUCAUAUGCCAAUCCAUAUUUUACAGGGAGCAUUUCUUUCAACUGCCCUAAUAACCAUUAGACAGGUGCUGUUACUAUCCAAAUUUACAAAUGAGGAGAAGGAGACAGAGCAGCAGCAAACGCCUGGCUUUAGCUCCUAAAGCUCUUCAGCAGUGGCAGUGACAUGUGAACACUGGCUGCCUAGCCUAAUGCCUAAACACUUGGAACCAAGGAGCUUACACUGAAAAAGGCCUAACAAAUAGCUCCCUAUUGACCCAGUUCUUACUACAAUGCCCAUACUGCUGCUCUUGCAGAGGACCCAGGCUUGGUUCCCAUCACCCACAUAGCACCCACAACUACCUGUAACUCCACUUCAGGAGCUCAGACACCCUUUCUAACCUCUAAGAGCAUCCCACACAUGAUAUACAUACACAGGUUCAGGCAAAGUGCUCUACACAUUUUUUUCAUGUUUAUCUUCAAUAACUCAGAACAAAACACCCAUUGGGAUAAAAGACCUGAAUCAAAAUACCCUUUUACAGUAGAAGAACCAUUCCUUUAUAUCAUCAUUCCAAACACUGAGAACCCAGCUGCACCCCAGCAGUAGCCAGGUCAGCCUUGGAGAGCUCAAGUACAUGUUAUUGAGCCUAUGCAUAAACUCAAUCUCUGCCACCAUGGCCACUUUGUUCAUGUGCCCAUCGGGCAAUAACAGAGAUAUGGAAAAUAUAAAUACACACACACCACUCGUAUUACAAGGGCUUUUAGGCUAUGCUCCAGCUAGUCAAACAAUGGCUGUCAACCAAAGGAAAGCCCGAUAAUCCAAUAGUUGUUCAGUUCAUGAGGCUAGAUGUCUCACUCUUCAGUAUAUGCCAACUAGGCUCUAAUGCUAGUGAAGGACUUGCCAGUGGGAGAGCCAGGGCAAGCAGGCAAGAGAGAGGAAGCUUCCUCCUCCCUUGUCUUUUAUAUAGGUUGUCAGCAGAAGGUAUGGCCCAGAUUAAAGGUGGAUCUGCCCACCUCAGAAGAUCUGGAUUAGAAGAGGGUCUUCACACUUCAAAUGAAGC
This 2260-nucleotide long non-coding RNA is filed under the name Mus musculus (house mouse). RNAcentral describes it as "long non-coding RNA chr19:29027906-29030166". The record is from RNAcentral. Lineage: Eukaryota; Metazoa; Chordata; Mammalia; Rodentia; Muridae.